CCCGAAACCGCGAUAUUGCAUUCAAUACCGUUAUGGUGACCGAUACCGAUAUCUCGAACCAUUUGUUUAUGUAUAUAUACAAGUACCCAUGACUGAGUUGUUAUAUUUUGCAGUUCAGAAAAAAGAAGUUAUGUUUUUGUCGAGUCUGAUGUUGUUCCAUGUAUUUUAUCUCGCUCCGUGUAUCAAUUUUCCCAGAUGUGUAAUUAUACCUUGUUUCAGUCUGUGGUAGGAUCUAGAUUCCCGAAUCGCAGAGGGGAAAUAAAAGAAUAGAAAAAGGGAGAAAUAGAAUGAAGUGGAAGAAGUUUUCUUGUUCCUUUUCGAUUUGUUUAGAAAUAGAAAAGAAGGAAUGGAUAUUUCUCAAAAAGUCCUUUUUUUUGUUUCUUUACCAACGUUUGGUAAUGUUUGUCUUUAGCAACUCUUUGACAUUGGUUCUUUUCCCCUUCUAAAAUAACCCUUACAUAGUCAUCUAGUUGUCUUCUUCAUACUUGAAGUUAGGAUAAAUGAAGUUAGCCACCCACGUCAAGCUAUAUAUAAGGGCUGCCUUGCUGUAGAAAGAAAAACAUAACAUGAGUUCAGACAAUGGUGCCAUCAAAACAAAGUUCUGUAAACAUUGGAAUAAUUGAUGCCAUUCCCAACUCGAGAAGUGAACCUCGAGCUCUAGACAUUCGUUCAUUGCUAAGAUGUAGGGUAAAGAUCAUUCUAAUACAUGUAACUAAUAAAUAACCUGCCUUAGUACUACCAGUGUCUUAAGUUCACCAUACAAUUUUUUAGCUAUAGUCAUGGCUAUAAAGAUAGAUUGACAGAAGAUAAGCAAUUCUAAUUUCUUAGGUAUUCAUUGCUCAUAAACAACCUAAUACAUUGGCUAUACUAUCAGCAUAUACAUUGGCUAUCUUCAGUCCAGGAAUACUAAAUAACCUGAUGUUUUUACGGGCCGAAUUUUUAGCUGUAGUCAUUUCCCCUGAAUUUUACGGGCUCCCAUAGCAAAAACAUCAGUCUUGUUUCAAUAACCAAGCUAAUUAAUUCUAAGGUUCCUAAAAGAUAGAUUAACAAAAGAUAAAACUACUGGAUACAUGGAAAAAGGAAUAGCUGAAACUAACUGAUUGAUUUUAGAAAUUUCCACUACAACAACAACAACAACAAAACCCAUGUAGUCCCCAAUCAUUGGGGGUAUGGGCGGGGGAAGAUUGGAGACAGACCUAACCUUUGGUAAUAUGCACAAAGUGAUUGCUCUCAGAAUACCACUGAAAUAGUGGCCCCCCUAUACCUAUUUUGCUGGGAAACCAUGCCCCCAAAUCAAAGCCAAAUGACAUCAGAAAGGGCAGGCCUAGAGACCCAAUUUAAUUUCUGUGCACAUUACCAUGCUUUCUUCAUUGAUAGUCCAAAGCAUCGGUAUGCACAAUAUUUUAGAAAUUUCCAUUGGUUCUCUAAAUUUAUUGCGGUCUUAGACGCUUAGUUCCAUCAUGUAACUCCUUUUCUACCUCCAACUUUUAACCUCAUUGGUAGGAUCCCUAAAGUAAUUUUCAUGUAUACAAAUGUCUUUUAUAUGAAAUUCAUGGUGAAUUAGUUAUGUAUAAAAAUAUAAGCAGUGUGUAACUCUAACUUGUUUGUUAAGGGUGGAAACUGAAAUAAAGAUAGUCCCUACUCCUUACUUAGGUAUAGAAUGAUCACAUGAGUAUGGAGAUUUCUUUGACCUAUGUUUCUGCCGUUUACCAGAUCUUCCAAAUAUUUCCCCCCCUUGGCGUGGUAUAUGUGGCACUACUAGUUGGGCAAAGUUUCGGUUCAAAGUUGACUGACGUGGUAACUCUCUAGUGGGCAGUGGUGGGCCUGUUAAAUAAGUUGUCCAAUGGUGCUCUGGGAAAUACUAAAUAAGUUGUCCAAUGGUGCUCUGGGAAAUACUAGAUAAGUUCCAAAUCUUUCACCCUACCACUCUGUUUCCUAGUCUAUCUGUGUAUAUACCAUGCUAAAGUGAACUAUUUGAUUGGGCACACCAUCAUCCUUAUGUGCAUCCUGGUGAACUAAAUAAGAAGGUGAGACUAGAAUAUUUGGGGGAAGUUCUGCAAAUAUUGUACUGGGUAAUGAUGGUUGGUGUAGUCUAUGUAGUAAAGAUUUGAAUAUGAAAGUUCCCAAAGUCCACACAAGUUAUUUAGUGUUUCUGUGUUUGGCCAUCACAAAGAUGCGAACAAGGGCUUAUCAGAUGACAAUGGUUUGAUAAGAUGCGUGAGCCCAUGACAAAGGUGUUAAAUCCAUUUCUUUAGAUACCCAUCUAGAUCAUCCAAUUGACAAUCAUACUCCGUUUUUUUGAAUAGUAUGGUCUAGGCAUGGAGUGUUUCUACUUAAUCUGAAGCCCAUUUAGAGUUAUUCGGGUCUAUUGAUAUGAUUCCUACUUCAACUAGAGUUGCAUUAGAAUGUCUUUGGUAAGUUUAUCAAGGGAGUGUUUGAGAGAUUAGCAUCUUUUCGGCAACACAAUGUGUUAUUCUGUGGUCAGUGUGUUUUUUCAAAGCUUUGGCUUCCUUUUGCUUUGUCUGGGGCUGCCAAACUUAUUUCAAGAUGCUGAUCUAGAGGG
Molecule: long non-coding RNA, 2563 nt
Organism: Rhododendron vialii
Lineage: Eukaryota; Viridiplantae; Streptophyta; Magnoliopsida; Ericales; Ericaceae
Exons: 2
Source: RefSeq, a predicted model, not a curated record